RNAcentral lists this ribosomal RNA (466 nucleotides) under uncultured Hylemonella sp. Its description in RNAcentral is "bacterial SSU rRNA". It matches the Rfam family "Bacterial small subunit ribosomal RNA", at positions 338 to 796 of the family's 1533-position model. The record is from RNAcentral. Lineage: Bacteria; Pseudomonadati; Pseudomonadota; Betaproteobacteria; Burkholderiales; Comamonadaceae.
CCUACGGGUGGCUGCAGUGGGGAAUUUUGGACAAUGGGCGCAAGCCUGAUCCAGCCAUUCCGCGUGCAGGAUGAAGGCCUUCGGGUUGUAAACUGCUUUUGUACGGAACGAAAAGGUUCUCUCUAAUACAGGGGGCUGAUGACGGUACCGUAAGAAUAAGCACCGGCUAACUACGUGCCAGCAGCCGCGGUAAUACGUAGGGUGCAAGCGUUAAUCGGAAUUACUGGGCGUAAAGCGUGCGCAGGCGGUGAUGUAAGACAGAUGUGAAAUCCCCGGGCUCAACCUGGGAACUGCAUUUGUGACUGCAUUGCUGGAGUGCGGCAGAGGGGGAUGGAAUUCCGCGGGUAGCAGUGAAAUGCGUAGAUAUGCGGAGGAACACCGAUGGCGAAGGCAAUCCCCUGGGCCUGCACUGACGCUCAUGCACGAAAGCGUGGGGAGCAAACAGGAUUAGAUACCCGAGUAGUCC